AGUCGUAAUAAGGUUUCCGUAGGUGAACCUGCGGAAGGAUCAUUAAUAAAUGGCUCGAUUUUUAGAGCAUUAAUAAUCAUCCUACCCUUUGUGAAUUUGUUGUUUGAAAUAAUUUUUUUUUAAAAUUAUUGAUGUCUUUCCCUGUUGAAUUGGUUGGUCGUAAGACUAAGUGAUUCUCAGGGGAUAGUCAAUAAUUUUUAAAAAGACCUUUUUUUAAAUUAAACUUUUUGUAUUCAUUUGUCUAAAAUUAUUUUUAUAAUAUAAAAACAACUUUUGACAAUGGAUCUCUUGGUUCUCGCAACGAUGAAGAACGCAGCAAAAUGCGAUAAGUAGUGUGAAUUGCAGAAUACGUGAAUCAUCGAAUCUUCGAACGCAUAUUGCACUUUUUUAGUUUACUAAAAAAGUAUGUCUGUUUGGGUAUCAGUAAAAUAUUCUCAUAAAAAACAUUGUUUUUUUAUGGUUAUGAGUGUUUUACAACGAUAACAAGUUGUUUCACUUUAAAUUCUCUGUUAUCAAAAAAAUCAUUAAAAGCUAAUUUUAAAGAUUUUUUAAAAUUGGAUAAAAUUUUCCCGUAAAAAGGAAUAACCUAAACAAUUUUAAAAAAUUAAAAUUGGUUUGAUUUUUUUUGAAACCCAAAGGAAAAAAAAACGAAAUUAACUUGAUCUCAAAUCAGAUAAGAGUACCCGCUGAACUUAAGCAUAUCAAUAAGCGGAGGAAAAGAAACUAACUAGGAUUCCCUCAGUAACGGCGAGUGAAGCGGGAAGAGCUCAAAUUUGAAAUCUUCAAGGUUUUACCUUGACGAAUUGUAGUUUAAAGAAGUGUUUUCUGUUGGAGUUUUGGUAAAAGUUCUUUGGAAAAGGACAUCAUAGAGGGUGGGAAUCCCGUAUUUGACCAUUAUUUCCAGCUGUGUGAUACACUUUCAAAGAGUCGGAUUGUUUGGGAAUGCAGUCCAAAAUGGGUGGUAAAUUUCAUCUAAAGCUAAAUAUUGGCGAGAGACCGAUAGCGAACAAGUACCGUGAGGGAAAGAUGAAAAGAACUUUGAAAAGAGAGUUAAACAGUACGUGAAAUUGUCAAAAGGGAAGCGUUUGACACCAGUGUUGUUUUCUCGAAAAUCAAUUAAAAAGAGUUGAUUUUGUUGUGUAUUGACCUUAACAGCUUGCAUUUCAAUUUUCUUGCUUUUUUUAAUGCACUUUUCGUUUAACAAGUCAACAUCAGUUUCUUUUGUUGUAAAAAGGUCAUUGGAAGGUGGCUUUCUUUUCGGAGAAAGUGUUUAUAGCCUUUGGCCUCUGCAAUCGGAGAGACUGAGGUCUGCAGCGUAGAUCCUUCGGGGUUAGAUACAUUUGUGCUAAGUUAUAGCUUUCAUAGACAACUUGUUGACUAUGAUCAGUCUUGUAGCUUACUCGCUUAUGCUAUUUUACCUACGCUUAGGAUGUUGAA
RNAcentral lists this unclassified non-coding RNA (1437 nucleotides) under uncultured Neocallimastigales. RNAcentral's name for it is "partial contains small subunit ribosomal RNA, internal transcribed spacer 1, 5.8S ribosomal RNA, internal transcribed spacer 2, and large subunit ribosomal RNA". The stretch from base 660 to 1437 matches the Rfam family "Eukaryotic large subunit ribosomal RNA", at positions 1 to 630 of the family's 3401-position model. The record is from RNAcentral. Lineage: Eukaryota; Fungi; Neocallimastigomycota; Neocallimastigomycetes; Neocallimastigales.